AUCGAGGAACCUUUUACAGAAGUGGCUCCAGGAGCAUCCACAUCUGCCUCUCGGGGCCCUCGGGGCCCACGGGGCCCAGGCCAGCUACAGAAGCACCCUGCUUUCCAUGGGAAAAUGCUGCAAAUGGGGGAGAAAGGAGAGAAGGGUUUCAGAGUGGAAAGACCCUUCAACAUCAGCUAGCACCAAGUUCCAUUAUGUAAAUAAACUGAAGGACUUCAGACCGGGAGUGAAGCCAAGCAGACCUCCCCACUGUCACUGUCCAGCCUGAAGCCGCCCUGGUGAAGCAGGUGGAGGAGCAGCUCCAUGCCCGGCUCUCCGGCCUCCCUCCCUCAGCUCCAGGGCACUCACGUGCUUGAAACAGCUGACGGGAGCAGCCUUGUAACUGUGAUCCUUCAGGAACUUCCCCCAGUCGAAGCCCAAGACCAGAGCUGCAGAGCAGAAAGAGGACGAGUCAGACUGGGAGCCUGCGCAGCAGCCACUCCAGGAGCCUGGACCCCAAGGGCCCUGUGGGACCUGCAGAGGGGACACUCUGAAGGCACCUGGCUCAGAACCACUGCCAUCCAAGGAGCGAGGAGUCCCGGGGCUGAGCAAAUGCAGCGGGGAGGUCGGCAGUUCCCCUGCUUCCCGAUCCUCAUUUUCUGCUUCACUUGACUCCUCCAGAUAGGAGCUGCUCUCACUGCCCACACUGCUGUUAUAACUCCGGAAACUAUCAUAGCCACCAAACAGCUCCAAGUCAUCAUCUUCCUCUUCUUCCAUUGGUUCUGAAGAUGGGGUCUCCUAAUGGAGGAUGA
This 791-nucleotide non-coding RNA is filed under the name Pongo abelii (Sumatran orangutan). The record is from RNAcentral. Lineage: Eukaryota; Metazoa; Chordata; Mammalia; Primates; Hominidae.